RNAcentral lists this long non-coding RNA (230 nucleotides) under Olea europaea (common olive). Its description in RNAcentral is "long non-coding RNA (OEUR_LNC013896)". Lineage: Eukaryota; Viridiplantae; Streptophyta; Magnoliopsida; Lamiales; Oleaceae. The record is from RNAcentral.
CAAAGAUGAGAUUUAGGGUUGACAGUGUCUAUUGAAUGUUUGAAAAGCAGGCACUUUAAUGAUAAAAAAUGAGCAAGCUACUACAGUCCAAAAAUUACUUUGAAUGAGCUUUUUAGCAGGUCUAGACAGCCACAAUAUAUAUUGGAAAGAUAAUUUAAUAUAUAGCUCUAUGUAAAAAAAUGGAGUACAAUCUGAAAUUGUAGAUAAAACAUUGGCACAUUUGAAGUUAG